AAGUUGGAUGCAGCAGAGGGCUCUAAGAGAUGCUGUCACCAUCCAGCAGGGACAAGCCCAGCCCUGCUCCCCAGCCUCAGGCCAGGCCUCAACCUUAGACACCAGGAACUGGAGCAUCAACAGUUAGCACCGUGUCUCUGAGAUGACUCUGCUAGGCCUGAGCAGAGAUGGGACCCUCCUCUUCACAUCUGGUCUCCCAGAUGAGAGGUCCCCACGGGAGUCGACGACAGCAUGCCGCCGGCGCGAUUCAGACCACCCAGCUCCAGCGGGAGGAGUCCCCUGUCUCCUUUCUGUUUGCUAUUAACAAGUUUUUGUUGGAUAGCAGCAAGCAAUAUUUCCAGAACAAAUAAAGCUGUGGAGACAUUUGCCUUAGGCAUUUUACAGCUCAACUUGAA
Long non-coding RNA from Mastomys coucha (southern multimammate mouse), 395 nucleotides. RefSeq lists it as uncharacterized. The record is from RefSeq and is a predicted model, not a curated record. The transcript is spliced from 2 exons. Lineage: Eukaryota; Metazoa; Chordata; Mammalia; Rodentia; Muridae.